Molecule: ribosomal RNA, 509 nt
Filed under: Paenibacillaceae bacterium BF.103
Lineage: Bacteria; Bacillati; Bacillota; Bacilli; Caryophanales; Paenibacillaceae
Also listed under: 6 other names
Description: bacterial SSU rRNA
Rfam family: Bacterial small subunit ribosomal RNA
Source: RNAcentral
CCCUGGCUCAGGACGAACGCUGGCGGCAUGCCUAAUACAUGCAAGUCGAGCGGAGUAAGAAUGGAAGCUUGCUUCCAUUCUUACUUAGCGGCGGACGGGUGAGUAACACGUAGGCAACCUGCCCUCAAGACUGGGAUAACUACCGGAAACGGUAGCUAAUACCGGAUAAUUUCUUUCCUCUCCUGAAGAGAGAAUGAAAGGCGGAGCAAUCUGCCACUUGGGGAUGGGCCUGCGGCGCAUUAGCUAGUUGGUGGGGUAACGGCUCACCAAGGCGACGAUGCGUAGCCGACCUGAGAGGGUGAACGGCCACACUGGGACUGAGACACGGCCCAGACUCCUACGGGAGGCAGCAGUAGGGAAUCUUCCGCAAUGGGCGAAAGCCUGACGGAGCAAUGCCGCGUGAGUGAUGAAGGUUUUCGGAUCGUAAAGCUCUGUUGCCAGGGAAGAACGUCCGGUAGAGUAACUGCUACCGGAGUGACGGUACCUGAGAAGAAAGCCCCGGCUAACUA